Molecule: ribosomal RNA, 1524 nt
Filed under: Triticum aestivum (bread wheat)
Lineage: Eukaryota; Viridiplantae; Streptophyta; Magnoliopsida; Poales; Poaceae
Description: partial small subunit ribosomal RNA
Source: RNAcentral
AUGGGUCCGGCGCUGGCCAGGCGUGUAGCGCCUAUCUGUGAGACGUUGCACAGUGUAGUGUGGCGCCUUCGUGUCGGGCGUCACAUAAAAAGGUCAAAUUUGUCAAUUUUGCCAAGCCUUGCCUCCGUCAGGACUCAGGAUGAGCGGCGGCGCUCACCACGACUGACCGACUCUGUCUUCGGGCCGAAAUCCAGGCUCGUGAGUUUAUAUCAUGGAGGGGCACGCGUCGUUGAAAGUCCCACCAUCGAUCCCCUCCCGUUCCCGUCGCCGAGGAAAAGCACCAAGCACCAAACCCUAAUUGCCUUCCUUCCUCCCCCCGGCGGCCCGGCUGCCAUGUCAUCUCCUCCUUCCCGGCGUGGUAUCUUGACCACAAUCCCGGUCUCCGACGAUGGGACCUUCGGCUACUCCGUCCCGCCCCCGGCCCAUUGCUCCAGUGCAGCAGCUACACUGCUCCCGUUUUGGGGUACAGAGCACAAGCCUGCUCCAUUGGUACUGCAGCAAGGACAAACCAUUCGUGAAUCCAUUGCCCGCUCCUUGAAGAAAGAGCAAGAGAGCAAGUUUUCGAAUUUGUCCGUGCUUCCCAGUUGCCUCCCAGGGGCGCAAAAUUUUUCGUCUCUUGGGCUGCCUAUUCUGUACCAGCAACCAGAUCACUGGGGAAUUAGAUUUUACACCAGAAUUGAUCUCAAGGGAUCUUUCCACACAUACCCUCAUGUGGGUGGACCAUUUGAGAGCUUAACUGAAGUUAACGAUGCUAUUGAGCUCUACCUGAGGGGCCGCCAGGAGGAGCAAAUGUUUGUGGGAUUAUCUGGAGUGGAGCUUGCUGUACAAAAGUGCCUUUACUGGCCUGAUGGCAGAAGGAAAAAGCAUUUGGCGUCCCAACCAAUUGAUACUACCCGUGAUUUUAACCGCCAGCUGGUUGAAGCUCUGGUGGACAAGUAUAAUGAGGAUCACAACCUUUUGGGGGAUCUUGCAUAUGAAUUCAAAGAUAUUAUGUGCUGCCAAUCAAUUAGAGAUAUCAUGUAUAAUCAAUCAUCCAGUGAAUUGUUUGUCAUCUGUUUAUGUGUGCUGGAUCCUACUGCUAAUGGUUACUGUUAUGGUUGUCACUGUAAUGGAAGUCCUGACAUGAAGCACCCAAGUUCUGGUUACAUAGCUGGCCACACAAGUAACGUGUCUGGUAGAUCUUCUAAGAUAAACUGCGGAAAGUUUGAUGAUGAGGACAAUGAGGACGAGCUGGAAGCUCAGAAGGCUAGGUUACGAUGGUUGUUUGGGGGCUCUGAGCUGAAGCAAAUCAGGGACCCACAUGGGGCAGAGCAAUGGAGAAGAACAGCUGAGCCAGCAUUGCAGAUCCAAGAUAAAUGUGAUGAGGACAACAAGAACGAGCUGGAAGCUCAAAAGGAUAGGUUGCAGUGGAUGUUCGGGUUAAGAGUAUCUAUAACCGGACCCCAUAUUUUUCCCAAACGCCCGGACGGGCUGGACGCAAAAUGCCAGGGAGGCAAGCGGAAGCGAGGGGCAGCGGCGCCGUGA